UUAAAAUUAAUUGGGAUCAUUGGAUAACUAUUAGGUGGAUAUGGUCCACGUGUAUAAACAAUAAAUUGGCAGCAAAUAUUUUAGAUGUAGGACAUUGGGUAUUGUAGCAAAAGUUAGUGAUAAGUACUAAGAAAAGUUUGGCCAUGAAGGAACACGUGUCUUGCAAGACCCUUUUAAGCUCUUAUUACUUCACUUUAUUUGUUAUUUUACAUAAGAGAAUGAAAGCAGCAACACAAUUUUAUCAUUGUGAGCACUAACGUUUGCUUCAUUUUGACGGAGAUGAACAACAAUUUUUCUCUUCAACCAAAAAAAUACUAGAUUUCAGUAUUGGGGAAAAUACAAAUAAUUACAAAGAGGUUAUAUAAAUGUUGGUUUCCUCCGGAUUCUAGCAAAUUUGGGUUUUCUUCAAAGUAAAGUAAAGUGGAAGAAGAUCAUUUUUUGGUAUAUAAGAUUCCACUUUGAGGGAGACUCAGCUCGUGAGCCUAUGAAAAGAGUUGGUAUAAGGUACAGACGAUCGAUUUGCUGAUCCGCCCGCUUAGGAUCCUAUUCCGCUGUCUUGGAGUGCUCUUUUGUCCGGAGCCUAUAUUUUGGUACAGUCCUUUGCUAUUGUAUAUAUGUACGCUAUUCAGGGGCAUGACGGGGCCCUGUCCCGUCUUAUGAUUCUGUUAUGAUCUGUAGAGGUCUGUAGACAUACAUGUGGGUUCUGUAUAUGUUUUGGGUGAUAUGAUCUGUGAUAGCCUCAUUGGCUUCCACGUGCUAUAUUUGUUCACCUGUGAUAGUUAGUGACGCCAUUUGACCUCUAUAUUUAUAUAUAUUCUGCUAAUAUAAUGGUUUGGGUUAUUGGGUACGUUUGGGUGUCCAGCACGGACACUAGUCGCGGCCUACGGGGUUGGGUCGUGACAAAAGUGGUAUCAGAGCGGUUUGUCCUCGGAAUGUCUACAGGCCGUGUCUAGUAGAGUCUUGUUUAUCGGUGUGUUGUGCACCACAUCUAUAAACAGGGAGCUACAGGACAUUUAGGAUGUUGCCUUUCUUUCAUAUCUCAGAUCGUGCGAUAGAGCCCAGCCAUAGGAAAUGAAAUGCCUUUUACUAACCUUUGAUUUCAGCUGAAGAACGGUAUCGACAGAAGAAAGUGGCUGAUGAUAUUGGAAGCUACACUGUACACAGGAAAGAAACGGUGCGAAAGGGGCAUGUUGGAUAAGGUAAGAAUAUUGAGAUAUGAUUGAAAUAUAAGGUUGAAGAAUGAAAGAUAAGGUAGAUAGGAAGAUAUAACAGGACGGAUCGUUAAAGGAUAAGGUACGUCUCGAGGUGCGUUAUAUGAGUUAAGUUCUGACAUUUUUAUACUUUUUACUUGACAAUGAGAGCCCUGUGUGGCUACGAUGCGAUAUGAUAUAUGCGUAUAUAUGUUGGCCCUGUGGGGCAUUGUUGGUAUUUCCUGUGUGCAGGAUCUAGGAUAGUAAGAAGUACAGAGGAAACUCUGCCCAAAUUUUUCCAGAAAUAGGAAAAAGAAAAGAGAAUGAGACCUAAGCUCAUGAUAUGUUCGGAAGGUUGAUACCGACAAGGUAAGUGUAUUAUAUUGGACUAAAGCUUUAAGAAAUACCCCCUUGUCAUCUAUAAGAGGCAUCAUUCUUAUUUGGGAAACAUUGUUUGAAGAAGCGUAUAUGAACAGCGAAUUCGCAAUUCAUUUAGACGGACCAGAAUACGUUCCAACCACAUUUUGCUUUAGAAAAAAAAACCUUUGUUGAAGGGCAAAAACAUCCGGCAAUUAAGUUUCACCUUAUUGGAAGAAUACAAAGCGUACAACAAGCAGUUGGGAAUUAAAUGAUUCGCUUACGACUUAAGAAUAAAUAUGAAGGUAAAUUAUGUGAAUCAAGCACUAAGAAGUUCUGUGGUGCUUGUCGGAUUUUAGUUUUCUUCUGCUGGUGGUUAGAGAAUGUUUUAGAGUAACAUUUUAUCAGUUCUCAUCGACUAAUUGGAGAUGAAAUUUGUGGAAGAAAAACUUAAACUUGUGGGCUGUCUAGGAUUAUAUAUCUCAUGUGUUGUUGGUGAAAUACUAAAGAUGAUCUAGGAAAAGGAGGCAACUCGUAACAGAACAUUUUAUUGAGGUAUCGAGUGAACCGAUAGACAGGGAUAAAUUACGACGAGUUAAAAUUAAAAAGAGUAACAGUAUGAUUGAGAUAAAAGUACAGAAGAGGAAGAGUUAUACCAAAUCUUGAAGGUGUUGAUAAGACAGCUUGUGAUAUAUUAAGGAUAGGAUUGAUUAGAAAAGGGGUGAAUAAAUUGAAGGGAAUCGACCAACGAAAAGGGCAUGUGAAGGGCAUAAUUCAAUAAAAGAACACUUGAGGAAGUAUUGGGAGUACAUGACUGGUUUAACAUUCGGGGACGAAUGUUUUAAAGGGGGGAAGAAUGUUAUAUCCCGUAUUUUCAUGUGUUGGAAAGCGUGCGAGUUAAAUGAUAUUAGUAACGAAAAUGAGUUUAUCCUCCCAAGCUUAUGGGUGGUUGUAGUGAUGGUACAAAUGUGUUAUAAUAUUUGAAGAUAAACAAAUAUAAGAAAAUAAGUUUUGCCGAGGUUCGAAAUUUAUUUGAUGAAAUACGGUCCAAGCUAUAAUAUCCCGUAUUUUUGGACUAGAAAAUUUAAUCGUCCAAUAUGAGCAAAAUUACCCGAGCCCGGAGAAUUCGAUCAUAUUCAAGGAUGAAGAUCAAGAGCUCGGUGUACAAAGAGUUUGAGGUCCCGAAAUAAUUUAAGACUUAACAAGUGUGACCACGGUGAUUGAGAAUAAUAUUUUAUGUAUAUCAAGAGGGACUAUGGACUAGCGCUAUGCCACAUAAUCAUGAUAAUGAGUAUAUGAAGAGUGUUAAAAAUAAUUUAUUACUUAAGUGAAUCGUAGUCAAGGAAUUAACUAUGUGUGUAAUUGGUUUAACGAGGGAUUGUAGUGGAAGACAAAAAAAAAUUAAAAUUAAUUGGGAUCAUUGGAUAACUAUUAGUUGGAUAUGGUCCACGUGUAUAAACAAUAAAUUGGCAGCAAAUAUUUUAGAUGUAGGACAUUGGGUAUUGUAGCAAAAGUUAGUGAUAAGUACUAAGAAAAGUUUGGCCAUGAAGGAACACGUGUCUUGCAAGACCCUUUUAAGCUCUUAUUACUUCACUUUAUUUGUUAUUUUACAUAAGAGAAUGAAAGCAGCAACACAAUUUUAUCAUUGUGAGCACUAACGUUUGCUUCAUUUUGACGGAGAUGAACAACAAUUUUUCUCUUCAACCAAAAAAAUACUAGAUUUCAGUAUUGGGGAAAAUACAAAUAAUUACAAAGAGGUUAUAUAAAUGUUGGUUUCCUCCGGAUUCUAGCAAAUUUGGGUUUUCUUCAAAGUAAAGUAAAGUGGAAGAAGAUCAUUUUUUGGUAUAUAAGGUAAGAAUUAUCCUCUUCUAGGUAUAUUUAAAUUCAUUAAAGUCAUAGCUAAAUCAUGAGAUGGGAAAUACGAAUAUUUUACCGUAAAUUGUAUUUGAUGUUGUUAUUGGCCCAUGGGCUGUUUGUUGGACUGUUUUGUGGGUUAUGUAAACAUAGUUAUGGACGGAAAUUAUGUUAUAUGACAUGAUUAUGAUAACACACAUAUGAAGUGUUCUUAAAAUGAUCAUUAUUUAAGUGAAUUGAGAUUAAAAAAAAAAUUAAAAAAAUUAAGGUUGUUGGGUAAUUAAUACGUGGACAUGCCCAUGUAUUUUAUGGAUAAGUGGCAGCAAGUUAAUCUUUUUGCAUGACAUAAAAUGAUAAUGUUGUUGUGUCAUAUUUAAGAGAUGUGUAUUAAAAUGAAUUAAUACCUAGUUACACGUGUAAAGUGGGGGGAGUGUAUCUAAAGGUUUUGCUUUAAUUUGCUGGACGUUUUUGGUAUAUAAAAAUUGGAAGUGAACAUGUUGCCUUGUAUUCUUAGACCUCCUUACUUCAGAUUUUUAACCAAAAAAAAGUGUGCAGCAACUUCCAUUUUGAUCUUCUCUACUUUAGCAAAAAAUUGUCUUAAGACAAAGUAGCAACAAUGUUUCUUUCCAGUAUAGUAGCAACAUUUUUCUAUUUUAAGAGAACCAACUUUUACUUCGUGAUGAAGCAAAGUCACGGGAAGUUUGACAGAGACCAGCAAAGGUACAAUCUGUCAUCUAAAAUCUUUUAUGAGCUCAAAUCAGCGUCCAAGGUAUGUCUUUGAUGAGAACUUACGAAUUGACGAUCAGAAGCCGGAUAUGCAUUAUUAUUGUUUGUUGGACUAUUUUGGAGUACGGUGUAUGGUAUUCUAUGGAUUGAAUUGGUAAAUUUGAUAUGAUUGUAGUUCUCGUGAUGUAUCAAGCGUAGAAAUCAUGUAAAUGUGUUACGGAUAUAUUGGACUUGUUAUUGUAAUUAGGAAAGCAGAUGGGGAUUUGUUGUUUCCUAAGUUAAUGAGCUUGUAGCUUGUUAUUGUUCACUGAGAUUGUUGGCUGCCUCAUAGAUGUUAAUAUGUCUAAAUGUAAGCUUGGGAAGGUAAAGGAAAAUAGAGGUGAUGCUAUUCAAGUUUGGUUAAAAUGUGUUUAACGUCCAUAAGCUGUCGAUAAGAGCUAUCGUGACGUUAGUAUCAUGUUCGUUGCUGCUGUAGAUUCCACUUUGAGGGAGACUCAGCUCGUGAGCCUAUGAAAAGAGUUGGUAUAAGGUACAGACGAUCGAUUUGCUGAUCCGCCCGCUUAGGAUCCUAUUCCACUGUCUUGGAGUGCUCUUUUGUCCGGAGCCUAUAUUUUGGUACAUUCCUUUGCUAUUGUAUAUAUGUACGCUAUUCAGGGGCAUGACGGGGCCCUGUCCCGUCUUAUGAUUCUGUUAUGAUCUGUAGAGGUCUGUAGACAUACAUGUGGGUUCUGUAUAUGUUUUGGGUGAUAUGAUCUGUGAUAGCCUCAUUGGCUUCCACGUGCUAUAUUUGUUCACCUGUGAU
Long non-coding RNA from Lycium barbarum (goji berry), 4929 nucleotides. RefSeq lists it as uncharacterized. The record is from RefSeq and is a predicted model, not a curated record. The transcript is spliced from 4 exons. NCBI's taxonomy places the organism in Eukaryota, Viridiplantae, Streptophyta, Magnoliopsida, Solanales, Solanaceae.